AAGGAUARUAUACGGAAUAUCACCUUUAGGUGAUAAGCGGAUUAGCGUGACAUAUUGUAUUCAGUUUUGAAUGCUCAUUAUUUGAGGAUUCAACUAAAAUAAUAGAAUUUGUAUUGAAAGUAUUUGCUAACGCAAAUAAGUUUAAAACAAUUUCGUUGUACAUUGAAAACUAGAUAAGUAAGUAUAAAUGAUUUUACCAAGCAAAAACCGAGUGAAUAGCGAAAGCUUGAAACUAAAAAAUUAUCGCUAGUCGUCAAAUGACGACUCACAUAAUUAAUAACACAGUUUUGAAUUGAAAACGCUUGUCAGUCUAUAAAUCAUGAACAAGAGCGAGUGCGCUUACUAUGUGUAAGUAAUCGAGYGAUUGUGAAAUGAUGAAGCAGAAUGCGAGCGAUUGUCAAUCAAAAGUA
Molecule: unclassified non-coding RNA, 410 nt
Filed under: Staphylococcus muscae
Lineage: Bacteria; Bacillati; Bacillota; Bacilli; Caryophanales; Staphylococcaceae
Description: 16S-23S ribosomal RNA intergenic spacer
Source: RNAcentral